CACAGCUGAGCACCCAGAGCCUCGCCGCUGGGGCUGGCAGAGGACAGAGCUCUGGGUGAGAGUUGGAAGUGUCCCUCGAAGGGGUCUCAUGGGUCUGGCACUCAGGCUCCACGGUGCAGGACACACCCUCAGGGGACACGUGGCCGCGCCACGGAUGUGGAGAAUCUAAAAGCCAGAGGGGAUGGAAGACCAUCACCCAGCCUUCUCAGACAGACAGGAACACUGGGACAAGAGGAGAUAAAUGACCUGUUGGGUGGGGCCCAAAAUAUUUCCUCUGCCUUUUGUUUUGUUUUGUGCCCCAAGAGACUGCAAGCUCUCCCUGUCCAGGAGGCUCGGCUUAUAGCAUCCCCACUGCCCACAGUUGUGGAACAAUUCUUGGAAAAACCCAUCUCACACGUGGAAUGAGCAGGCAGACAAAGAAGAGAAUCUCUUGUAAAAUGAGUUGUUUGGAAAUGCUGACUCCCGCUGUGACAGUCCUGGGAGUCUUCGUGACAGCUCCCUCCCUCUCACGGGUCGGAUCUUCCUGGACGGAGGACUCAGACACUGGGAGGAGAAGCUGUGUUUCCGGUAAUGCCCCUCUGCUCCGGGCCUCAGUCCUGUUGGUCCUGGGGUUACUGUCUCUGCAGACAGGGACUCAGGACAGGACAGGAGGGGCCUUCUCAUCUUCAUGUGCAGGGACCUCCCUGGAUAGGUCACCAGAUUCCACUUGUAGCAGACGAGCCUUGCAGGAAACCACACCAUGGGGCAAAACGGCGAGGGGUGUAAGCAGGACACCGGACUGGGCUGGGCACCCAGCCGUCUGA
This 803-nucleotide long non-coding RNA is filed under the name Fukomys damarensis (Damara mole-rat). RNAcentral describes it as "lncRNA (ENSFDAG00000032589.1)". The record is from RNAcentral. Lineage: Eukaryota; Metazoa; Chordata; Mammalia; Rodentia; Bathyergidae.